UCCGUAGGUGAACCUGCGGAGGGAUCAUUACCGAGUUUACAACUCCCAAACCCCUGUGAACAUACCAAUUGUUGCCUCGGCGGAUCAGCCCGCUCCCGGUAAAACGGGACGGCCCGCCAGAGGACCCCUAAACUCUGUUUCUAUAUGUAACUUCUGAGUAAAACCAUAAAUAAAUCAAAACUUUCAACAACGGAUCUCUUGGUUCUGGCAUCGAUGAAGAACGCAGCAAAAUGCGAUAAGUAAUGUGAAUUGCAGAAUUCAGUGAAUCAUCGAAUCUUUGAACGCACAUUGCGCCCGCCAGUAUUCUGGCGGGCAUGCCUGUUCGAGCGUCAUUUCAACCCUCAAGCCCAGCUUGGUGUUGGGACUCGCGAGUCAAAUCGCGUUCCCCAAAUUGAUUGGCGGUCACGUCGAGCUUCCAUAGCGUAGUAGUAAAACCCUCGUUACUGGUAAUCGUCGCGGCCACGCCGUUAAACCCCAACUUCUGAAUGUUGACCUCGGAUCAGGUAGGAAUACCCGCUGAACUUAAGCAUAUCAAUAAGCGGAGGA
RNAcentral lists this ribosomal RNA (546 nucleotides) under Fusarium fujikuroi. RNAcentral describes it as "eukaryotic LSU rRNA". The stretch from base 179 to 332 matches the Rfam family "5.8S ribosomal RNA". The record is from RNAcentral. RNAcentral also lists the same sequence under 5 other names. Lineage: Eukaryota; Fungi; Ascomycota; Sordariomycetes; Hypocreales; Nectriaceae.